CCCUUAGAUGUUCUGGGCCGCACGCGUGCUACACUGAGUGGAUCAGCGGGUCAGGUUGCGCGAAAGUGUUUCCUAAUCUUUAAAUCCGCUCGUGAUGGGGAUUGACGGUUGCAAUUUUCCGUCAUGAACGAGGAAUACCUUGUAAGCGCGGGUCAUCAUCCCGCGCUGAAUACGUCCCUGCCCUUUGUACGCACCGCCCGUCGCUCCUACCGAUUGAGUGGUCCGGUGAGGCUUUGGGAUCUGAGCGGAAAGAGCGUUUCGCUGUUUCUGCUCGGAAAACUCAGUCGAACCUUAUCAUUUAGAGGAAGGAGAAGUCGUAACA
This 322-nucleotide ribosomal RNA is filed under the name uncultured eukaryote. Its description in RNAcentral is "partial 18S ribosomal RNA". It matches the Rfam family "Eukaryotic small subunit ribosomal RNA", at positions 1470 to 1796 of the family's 1831-position model. The record is from RNAcentral.